CGACGGUGUGUGAGCGUGUGGGGAAGAGCUUGGUGAUGCAAGCCGUGUUAAAUCCAUGCUCAGAUAAUCCAAUGGCCGCCCUUAGCCCAGCACCACCAGCUCCCACAACCACCGCGUCAUAGGUGUGAUCCACUAUCGUGUAAUCACCUGUCUGCUGCAUGAUCAACAACAUGGAUACGAAGAAUAAGCAAAAAAAGCAAUUCUAACAAUACGCAAUCCCGAUCAAAUUCAAUACUAAAACUCAACGGACUCCGUGUUCCCUAUCAUAAGCUUCUGUUACUCGAGAUUCCACGCGUAUUUACAUAGGAUCGAAACGAUAAAACUAAGAAUCGGAGGAGAGAUCUUACGGAACCGGUGGAGAGGAAUCUAGAAAAGCGAGAUCCAGAGAGUGAGGUCCUUGAGGAAGGAGCACGAAGGCUACGAGAGACGCAGCGCCACAUCUUCUUCUUUUUGAAUCCACAAGCCGAUCAGAUUCUAUGCAAAAUGAAGAUGGUAGACGAAAUCGUUUCUUUUUUUGUUUACCUGAGAACUCGCGAGCGGAGUGAGAGAGAGCCACCGAGGUGAGGUGCUGCUUUUUAAAGAAAAAAUGGAAAACGAUGACUUCUUUAAAUUCCGUUUAUACCCUUACUCUCUCACGAUAACUACGCCUAAACCGGUUUGCUUUGGGAACUAAACCAACCCCCAAGGUUAGGCCCUCUCCCUCCUAUUGGUCAAUUGAUAACAUGUUUGGUGCCAAUUUUUUCUUUCUCGCCGUCUCAUUUUUUAGAUCCAACGAUGAAGGGGGUAACUCGAUCAAAAUGAUAGAAUAUUCAAAAUUAUCAAAUAAUUUUGAAAUAAUAAUGGCCCAUGUUUUUAUUAUCUACCAGUAACAUACUUAUCAUUUUAUUCCAUGCUUCCAUAAGUACUUUUUUUUUCUAUUUUUAUAUUAGAUUUAGCUUCAUAGUAUUCGAAAACGUAGAGAAGGAUACUAGUCACUCGUGGACGGUUCUAAUCCAGAAGUUGGAAACCUUUUGUGAGGAAACGAUUACGUUAGAAUAAAAAUAAUGAUUAGUUUAAAUACCAAUUCCGUUGUCGUCCAAGAGUGUCCAUGUGAACAGGCCUAUACUCCAACCUCACUUUCUCGUCUUCCCAAUACCCCAAUGUAUGCUUCAUCCAUUCUCCAUCCUCUCUUUUCUGCACCCACAUUCAUUAUUAUAUCAUCAUCAUCUUCUUUACAGUAUAUACUAAUGUAUGAGGAAAAGAAGGGGAAUCAAACCGUGAAAUCUUCCCGAGCAUGUGCUCCUCUGCUUUCCUUUCGUGCUUCCGCUGAAUGCAUUGUUAUUGAAGCGUUUAUCAAUAGGUUCUCCAGUUCUAUUGUCUCUAUCAGAUCAGAGUUCCUGCAUUCAUCAGAUAAGUUAGUCACAACUAACAAGGAGCUUUUUGUAACAUUGAUAAUUUAAUAAUCUCGACCCCAUGUGUAAAGUAUCGUUUUACCAUAUCAAACUCCGAUCUUUAACCUGGACAUCCUCGAAACUUUCCCAUGCCUUGUCGAUCAACUGACAACCUGCAAUAAAUUAUUCCAGGUUAAGAUAAAACUGGCGGCUUUUGCAGAUGGGAGAGAGCUCUUUAAUCCAGGACUAACUAAUAAGAUUAAUGUUUGUUACCUUCUUCCAAUGUUUCUUGCGUGCGGAAGACAGCUGCGUUGUUCUGCAUAAUCCUCUGCAUGUUCAAUCUGAUACUUGAUGUAGGAAGCGACCCGCUUGAGUGUCUCAACUUGUUCAGCCAUUCUAUCGUCUUCUUGCCUGCAUUUUCCUCCAGAGGCCUCUGUUUCUCCCCUGCACCCAUCGAGGAAUAAGGCAAAUAAAAAAACAUCAGAUUAGGCUCUUCUUUAUGUACUUAUAAUACAGUCUCGAGAGAUUCUAGAAAAAUUGACUAACCUGGUUUGCUUAUCUCUGCUACCCUAUUCGCACACGCACGGCCAAACACAACAAUGUCGAGGAGAGAAUUUGCACCAAGCCUGUUGGCACCGUGAACAGAUGCACAAGCUGCCUCCCCAGCAGCCAUAAGCCCUGGAACCACUGCAUCUGGAUCAUCUCCUUUGAUGGUCACUACCUGCACGACAAAAAAAAUAAAAAUUACUCCUGAUCUCUACUGCAUCUCAUAUUUCACUCUACACAAAUUUCAGUAAAAUUGCUUCAAAAGUUCAACGACUUCUGCUAUUCUUACCUCGCCGUGGUAAUUUGUUGGGAUACCACCCAUGUUAUAGUGCACAGUAGGCAAGACUGGAAUUGGCUCUUUGGUAACAUCAACACCAGCGAAGAUUGCAGCCGUCUCAGAUAUUCCAGGAAGCCUUUCUUUUAGAACUUCUGGUGGGAGAUGGUUCAAAUGGAGAUAGAUAUGAUCCUUAUGCGGUCCUGGCCAUUUUAGCAACGGUUAAUCCAAAACGAGUAUUAAGACUACAGAGUAUCACGAAAUCAAUUAUGGUCCUCAAAGACUCAUAAUGAGAGUUAGCUGAGAAAGUUGAAUCUAGCAUACCUACACCACGACCUUCCCUGAUUUCCAUAGUCAUAGAUCUAGAGACAACAUCUCUUGAUGCAAGAUCCUUGGCUGUAGGAGCAUAUCGUUCCAUAAAACGUUCACCUUCACUGUUUCUAAGGAUACCACCUUCACCUCGGGAUCCUGCAAUUGUUUAGUAGAGAAACACCAAAAAUAACCAUGUCAACCACAUUAUAUCUCUAUCGUGUAAGUAAAUGGACUAUGUGAGGACAAGAUGCUAACCUUCAGUGAUGAGACAUCCGGCUCCGUAAAUACCAGUUGGAUGGAACUGAACAAACUCCAAGUCCUGCAUAUGACGUAAUCAGACAAUAAUAUUAUUAGCAUACAGAUACGUUUUGCACCAUUUAUCUCAAAACUAAAUAGGUAGCAUACCUGGAGUGGAAGACCAGCACGUGCAACCAUGGCAUUGCCAUCUCCUGUGCAUGUAUGUGCUGAGGUUGCAGAGAAGUAUGCUCUGCCGUAACCCUGGAAAAAAAAAGAGGCAUCAUGUGAGUAAACUUGCACAAUUGGAAAAAUUCGUAACAUGAAAACUACUCAAAACUAGCUCACCCCAGUGGCCAAGAUUGUUUGUGCAGAGCGGAAACGGUGCAAUGUUCCAUCUUCCAUGUUUAGUGCAAUUACACCCUGGCAAGUGCCUGCAGAUCGGAUAACAAUGUUGCAUCAAUACUAACGGAAGCAAGAGAAAAAGGAAAAUAACUCCCAAACACUUACCAUCACUCGCCAUGAGCAGAUCCAGAGCGAAGUAUUCAACAAAGAACUGUGUGUUAUGCUUCAUAGCUUGUCCAUAUAAGGUAUGCAAGAGAGCAUGCCCAGUCCGAUCCGCAGCACAAGCACAACGAUAGGCCUGACCACCUGACGGUAGAAUAAAAAGAAAGCCAACAUGAGAAAAUCUACUAAAACAAUCAAAGUUCCCAAAACAAAGCCAGCAAGAGCACAUAUGAAAAAAUCAAAUGAAAUGAUCAAAAAGGUAGCAAGACGUUAGACAAAGUCACCUUUGCCAAAGUCAAGACUCUGACCACCAAAUGCACGCUGGUAAAUUUUACCCUCUUCAGUACGAGAAAAGGGCAGGCCGUAAUUCUCAAGUUCAAUCACUGCUUUUGGUGCCUCUCUACACAUAUACUGAAUGGCAUCUUGAUCACCUACACAAAGAAAAUCAAAAAACUGUUAAAUGCAGGCACAGCAACUGAACCACAUACUAGCAAGAGCAAUAAGCUAAUACAAAAGAAAAAGAAGAGUUGCAAGAUUACCAAGCCAGUCACUUCCUUUGACAGUAUCAUACAUGUGCCAUCUCCAGUCAUCUUCAGACAUGUUUCCCAGUGCAGCAUUAAUACCACCCUUCACAGUUUCCCCACAUCACAUUAAAGCUCAUCAAAUCUCAAAGAAACCAAAACUCCAUUACUAAUCAGAAGGGUAAAACGAAAUUAACCUGAGCAGCGACGGUGUGUGAGCGUGUGGGGAAGAGCUUGGUGAUGCAAGCCGUGUUAAAUCCAUGCUCAGAUAAUCCAAUGGCCGCCCUUAGCCCAGCACCACCAGCUCCCACAACCACCGCGUCAUAGGUGUGAUCCACUAUCGUGUAAUCACCUGUCUGCUGCAUGAUCAACAACAUGGAUACGAAGAAUAAGCAAAAAAAGCAAUUCUAACAAUACGCAAUCCCGAUCAAAUUCAAUACUAAAACUCAACGGACUCCGUGUUCCCUAUCAUAAGCUUCUGUUACUCGAGAUUCCAC
Molecule: long non-coding RNA, 4261 nt
Filed under: Brassica napus (rape)
Lineage: Eukaryota; Viridiplantae; Streptophyta; Magnoliopsida; Brassicales; Brassicaceae
Description: long non-coding RNA (BNAP_LNC020107)
Source: RNAcentral